Molecule: ribosomal RNA, 981 nt
Filed under: uncultured bacterium
Lineage: Bacteria
Description: bacterial SSU rRNA
Rfam family: Bacterial small subunit ribosomal RNA
Source: RNAcentral
AGCAGCCGCGGUAAUACGAAGGGACCUAGCGUAGUUCGGAAUUACUGGGCUUAAAGAGUUCGUAGGUGGUUGAAAAAGUUGGUGGUGAAAUCCCAGAGCUUAACUCUGGAACUGCCAUCAAAACUUUUCAGCUAGAGUAUGAUAGAGGAAAGCAGAAUUUCUAGUGUAGAGGUGAAAUUCGUAGAUAUUAGAAAGAAUACCAAUUGCGAAGGCAGCUUUCUGGAUCAUUACUGACGCUGAGGAACGAAAGCAUGGGUAGCGAAGAGGAUUAGAUACCCUCGUAGUCCAUGCCGUAAACGAUGUGUGUUAGACGUUGGAAAUUUAUUUUCAGUGUCGCAGCGAAAGCGAUAAACACACCGCCUGGGGAGUACGACCGCAAGGUUAAAACUCAAAUGAAUUGACGGGGACCCGCACAAGUAGUGGAGCAUGUGGUUUAAUUCGAAGAUACGCGCAGAACCUUACCAACACUUGACAUGUUCGUCGCGACUCUAAGAGAUUAGAGUUUUCGGUUCGGCCGGACGAAACACAGGUGCUGCAUGGCUGUCGUCAGCUCGUGUCGUGAGAUGUUGGGUUAAGUCCCGCAACGAGCGCGACCCUCACUUUUAGUUGCCAUCAUUUAGUUGGGCACUCUGAAAGAACUGCCAGUGAUAAGCUGGAGGAAGGUGGGGAUGACGUCAAGUCCUCAUGGCCCUUACGUGUUGGGCUACACACGUGCUACAAUGGUAUCUACAACAGGAAGCAAGACUGCGAAGUUAAGCAAAUCCUUAAAAGAUACCUCAGUUCGGAUUGCACUCUGCAACUCGAGUGCAUGAAGCUGGAAUUACUAGUAAUCGUGGAUCAGCGUGCCACGGUGAAUGCGUUCCCGGGUCUUGUACACACCGCCCGUCACACCAUGGGAGUUGGUUCUACCUUAAGGCAAGGUUUCAAACCCUUGACCACGGUAUAGUCAGCGACUGGGGUGAAGUCGUAACAAGGUAGCCG